CGGAUACUAGAAUCCACACAGGCGGCAUUCAGACUCGAGUGUAGCUCGGCCAACCAUAGUGCAUCCAUGGAUAAGUUCACAACUAAUUAUUUCUUUAAACAACUUCUAGCAAUUAGAUUUUGCUCCAGACAUCUCUUCAGCAGGCGUAUGGUACCCCCACUGAAAAUUUUGGUUAGGUCCAACCAUUAAUAUAACUACACCAAGUGCAUCCAAUAAAUGAAUAUCCAGGUUUGAGUGUGGCUCGGCCAACCUGAGC
Molecule: long non-coding RNA, 256 nt
Filed under: Elaeis guineensis (African oil palm)
Lineage: Eukaryota; Viridiplantae; Streptophyta; Magnoliopsida; Arecales; Arecaceae
Description: long non-coding RNA (EGUI_LNC039314)
Source: RNAcentral